Pelobates cultripes (western spadefoot toad) is the source of this 370-nucleotide non-coding RNA. Lineage: Eukaryota; Metazoa; Chordata; Amphibia; Anura; Pelobatidae. The record is from the annotation of a GenBank genome assembly.
CUUACGAGCUCCUGGAGGUCUCAGCGGUGUUCGCCUGUUUGCGUAUCCGUUUUUAGUUCCAUGCGUUCACAGGCAAACACCGCCGUUCGUGCGUAAGAUGGCCGCGAACACGUGUAAAGUCCCGAAAUGGCAGGCAUCUAACCUAAGCACAAAGGGAUUCGUAUGAACCAUGCGAACGGCUCCACGAUCACUGGGAGGUAAAAUAACAAUUAACUGUUCCCCUGGGUGGUCUGAUGUUCGGUAUUUUGGGCUGUAUGUUACAGUAGCAAUAUUCACACGAAAACUAGCCAUUCGGUUUCUGUUUAACACAUCCAGCAGCAUUGUUAAUUAAGUCCAGGCAAAAGUAUAGGCAUAAUCAUAGUUCUGUUAC